GAUGAACGCUAGCGGCAGGCUUAACACAUGCAAGUCGAGGGGUAUAUGUCUUCGGAUAUAGAGACCGGCGCACGGGUGCGUAACGCGUAUGCAAUCUGCCUUUCACAGAGGGAUAGCCCAGAGAAAUUUGGAUUAAUACCUCAUAGUAUUAUGCCUCGGCAUCGAGAUAUAAUUAAAGUCACAACGGUGAAAGAUGAGCA
This 200-nucleotide ribosomal RNA is filed under the name uncultured bacterium. Its description in RNAcentral is "partial 16S ribosomal RNA". It matches the Rfam family "Bacterial small subunit ribosomal RNA", at positions 28 to 231 of the family's 1533-position model. The record is from RNAcentral.